This 879-nucleotide long non-coding RNA is filed under the name Brachypodium distachyon (stiff brome). RNAcentral describes it as "long non-coding RNA (BDIS_LNC004905)". The record is from RNAcentral. Lineage: Eukaryota; Viridiplantae; Streptophyta; Magnoliopsida; Poales; Poaceae.
GGCACUAUAAGAAAAGUAUAAAUUCGAAGAAUUAGAGAAAUUUCCUAGAGAAAACAAGCAAUUCUUCUUGCAAUUUGAAGGUCCGCACUCCACUAUAUGUGCAUCCUCCCUUAGAUAUUUAGAGGCACAAAUGCCACUAGAUUUCUUUAGUCCUUUGGGGACUAAAAAAACCAUAUAUUAGUAUCCUUUAAGACAUGGUGUUGUCAGCGUAUACGGAGAUGGCAGUCAAUGGUAUCAUUAUAGGAGUAGUAUAUAUUUUUUUUCAAUUGUCGAUUGGAAAAAGUAAUGGUCGUUGCCCCUUCUCUAAUUAAGAUUAAAAUAAAAAAAAGAUUGAAAUAAACACAAGUUCCUUUAGGAUAUGCUUUGAAAAGCAUUUAGCCCAUUCAGAAAAUUAAAGCAUUCAGCUGUCACCUAUAAACUAGGCUGAUAGAUUUUUGACCAAGCUCUGAUUCCCACCGUACACUUUUUUCUCUUAGGUUUUGAUCCGGUAGCAAUACUGUUUAAUUAUCCAUCGGCUACACCAAGCAUGUCGACCUGAUGACUGUUAACCACGACGUGAUGACAUUUCUUCAAACAAAAAGAAAAUCCACUACGCAUGUCCCCAUCAUCACACACACAAAAAACAUAGUCUUUAACAGCAACAGUUUUGGCCAGAUAGAACUAAACGUUAUCCAAACCUGCUAACGGAAAAAAAGAAAAGAAAAGAAGGGAGGUGACAUAUUUCUCUUCCUCCCUUUUCUGAAAUCUUGAGAACUAAAUUUCGAAACCUGGAAUUUGUAGCAGGAACAGACCCAGUUCCAAAACCAGAGCCCUUCUCCCCCGCGCUGGAACUCCAAAAAUACUUUACCUGGCAAGCAAAUAGCUGUCCCGGAAAAAGAA